This 122-nucleotide ribosomal RNA is filed under the name Klebsiella pneumoniae. Lineage: Bacteria; Pseudomonadati; Pseudomonadota; Gammaproteobacteria; Enterobacterales; Enterobacteriaceae. The record is from RNAcentral. RNAcentral also lists the same sequence under 1 other name.
UUGCCUGGCGGCACUAGCGCGGUGGUCCCACCUGACCCCAUGCCGAACUCAGAAGUGAAACGCCGUAGCGCCGAUGGUAGUGUGGGGUCUCCCCAUGUGAGAGUAGGGAACUGCCAGGCAUC